This 398-nucleotide long non-coding RNA is filed under the name Danio rerio (zebrafish). Its description in RNAcentral is "lncRNA (ENSDARG00000117501.1)". Lineage: Eukaryota; Metazoa; Chordata; Actinopteri; Cypriniformes; Danionidae. The record is from RNAcentral.
GCAUAACGAAUAAACAGUGCAUUGCUUAUUCAUGAUCAUGAAGUACUGUUUUCAAGGCUGCAGUGUUUGUCUUAUGUGAAAACAUUAAUACUGAUCAUGGAUGUUGUUGUAACAUUACUUUCAGGUUUUCAUGCUUUCAUACUUGGAUCGAAACAUGCCUGUAAGGCACAGAAUCAAAGAAUGAGCGAAGUCCAGGGCAGAAGAAGGGGAGAGAGUAACCUAUACCAGAGGGAACAAAAUACCACUGCAAUCUUUGCCAGUGACAGCCACGCUGCGGUCGCCCACCUUGCCCUCUAAAUGAGAUCCUAUUUACAAGAUCUCUCAGAGCUCCGGAAGUGCCAUCCAGAAAUAUUUCGGUAGGAAAAUAUAUCAAUAAUCACAAAAGUUAAAACUUGGAC